This is a non-coding RNA of Armillaria mellea, 82 nucleotides long. The record is from the annotation of a GenBank genome assembly. Lineage: Eukaryota; Fungi; Basidiomycota; Agaricomycetes; Agaricales; Physalacriaceae.
GGCCGUGUAGCGUAAUGGUUAACGCGCUAGUUUCCGGUGUUGGAAGAGCUAGAGAUUCCGAGUUCGAGUCUCGGCAUGGUCG